CCUACGGGUGGCUGCAGUGAGGAAUAUUGGUCAAUGGACGAGAGUCUGAACCAGCCAAGCAGCGUGAAGGAUGACUGCCCUAUGGGUUGUAAACUUCUUUUAUAUGGGAAUAAAAUGUUCCACGUGUGGGAUUUUGUAUGUACCAUAUGAAUAAGGAUCGGCUAACUCCGUGCCAGCAGCCGCGGUAAUACGGAGGAUCCGAGCGUUAUCCGGAUUUAUUGGGUUUAAAGGGAGCGUAGGUGGAUUGUUAAGUCGGUUGUGAAAGUUUGCGGCUCAACCGUAAGAUUGCAGUUGAAACUGGCAGUCUGGAGUACAGUAGAGGUAGGCGGAAUUCGUGGUGUAGCAGUGAAAUGCUUAGAUAUCGCGAAGAACUCCGAUUGCGAAGGCAGCUCACUGGACUGCAACUGACACUGAGGCUCGAAAGUGUGGGUAUCGAACAGGAUUAGAUACCCGAGUAGUC
RNAcentral lists this ribosomal RNA (460 nucleotides) under uncultured bacterium. Its description in RNAcentral is "partial 16S ribosomal RNA". It matches the Rfam family "Bacterial small subunit ribosomal RNA", at positions 338 to 795 of the family's 1533-position model. The record is from RNAcentral.